Molecule: long non-coding RNA, 1252 nt
Filed under: Ananas comosus (pineapple)
Lineage: Eukaryota; Viridiplantae; Streptophyta; Magnoliopsida; Poales; Bromeliaceae
Description: long non-coding RNA (ACOM_LNC016313)
Source: RNAcentral
AUUUGUGGAAUGACUUGAUGUACUUAAAUAUUUGUGUAUUAUUAAUGAUAUACGAAUGGUAAUGCUAAUUUUUAUCAAAUUUCGCAACGUCUCGUAUGAGCGUCAUAAGUGAAGUGCAAAAGUUGGGCGUACGCGUUGUGAUGGUUACAGGUGCUUAUUGGAAGUAAAAGUGUUAUUGGCACAAAUCGGAUUUGAAAACCCCUAACGGUACUCACCUCUAUUAGGAGCUAAAUUUGAAAGGUUGAAAAUUAGUAUUUUUCGAGGGUUAAAAUGCAAUUAUAAGUAAAAUAUUAAAAUAGUUUGGGAAAUGCAAACAACAAAUGAAAUUUGAAAUUAAGACAAUUUUAAUAUAGUUGUUCUUAAAUUUUAGGAUUUUUUAAAGUCACAAAAGAGUAUUUGGAAAUAUUUUUUGGUACAAAAUUACGCUAAAAUUUAUUCAAUUUUAAUCAUCACAAUUAUUUGCAAGUAUUGAAUUUUAAAAACCAAAAAAAAACUUUUAUUUCAAUACAUUAAUGUGAGGGUAUUUUCGUCUUUUUAUCACUUUAUCAACUACUAUCCUUCUUAUCCCACCUAUUCCAACCAAAUACUAUUUUUCAUUAUCCUGGACUAACUUUAACCCCCAACCAAACACAAAAAUACUUUAACCCCACCUUAACCCUGAACUUAACCCUAUCCCUGGAAUAACUAGUUUUUCCUUAAUCCCGAACGAAACGGUAGCUAAGAGAAAAGAAGAGAGGAAAGUAGAGAGUGAAAAAAAAAAGAAGAGGGAGAAAAGAGAGGAAAUCUUAGAGCUUGGUUUUGAUUUUGGUUCUGUCAAGAAGGAGGUGAGAAGGAGGUGAGAUCUUUCUUAUGAGAUGUGGUUUACACUAUUUGAAUAGAGUUAGAGAUUGUUAGAGCUCUCUUUUAUAUCUUGGAGUUCAGGUGAUAUUUCUCCUAUUUGAAUCUAUCUUAUAAUAUUCAAGUUUCUAGUGAAAGUUUUUUUCGCAUUGUUCUCCCGUGGAUAUAAGUAUAAGUGAACCACGUAAAUCCUUGUAUUUUUGUGAUUUUGUUUAGUUUGUUUUUACUCUUGUGAUUGUCUUUCCAUUAGAUACUUUUAGAAAGUGAGUUGUCAAAUUGCCCAUCAAGUGUUUGUGAAAUUGCCCACCAAAUAUUUAUAAAAUUACCAUCAAUAUUUUUCACUCUCAUUUUACUACAGAUUAAUUUUAAUUGGAUGGUUGAUAUAAUUUACGAAAAUAAAGAUUAAUUCAUAAAU